RNAcentral lists this transfer RNA (76 nucleotides) under Ruminococcus sp. RNAcentral's name for it is "tRNA-Gln". It matches the Rfam family "tRNA". Rfam says of the family: Transfer RNA (tRNA) molecules are approximately 80 nucleotides in length. Lineage: Bacteria; Bacillati; Bacillota; Clostridia; Eubacteriales; Oscillospiraceae. The record is from RNAcentral. RNAcentral also lists the same sequence under 5 other names.
UGGGAUAUAGCCAAGCGGUAAGGCAACGGACUUUGACUCCGUCAUUUCGCCGGUUCAAAUCCGGCUAUCCCAACCA